This 1473-nucleotide long non-coding RNA is filed under the name Macaca fascicularis (crab-eating macaque). RNAcentral's name for it is "lncRNA (ENSMFAG00000056947.1)". Lineage: Eukaryota; Metazoa; Chordata; Mammalia; Primates; Cercopithecidae. The record is from RNAcentral.
UUUUUUUUUUUUUUUUUGGGCCGGGGGGGUGGAAUCGAACACAAUUUAUUUUAGAACUAGAUAGGAAAGAUUGAACUGAAGAAAAAGUUUUACCCUAAACUUUCCCAAUUGACAUCUUCUGUACAGGCUCCAUGUUAUCAACUGUGUCAUUCACAUCAGUGGCCUGUACAAAUUGUGUAAUUCGAUUGAAGAGUCAAGUUUGCAAAUAACCGUCUUUCCAUUCGCUGUGCUUUAGAACAAUUCUCAAAACACAUUUAUUAUGCUCCCAACCCAUAACUGUUUAAUUAGGUUUUUCUUCUAAAAAUAAGUUGGAUCAAGAGAAUCAUUUACUUUAUACAUAUUCAAAAACAGAACUCAUUCAUUUUCUUCAGUGUUCCAUGGAGGGGAAAACUGUUCCAACCAAACAGAUGUAGUAAAAAGUAUGUUUCCUGUUUUGGCUUCUUUGUGUUAAUGACCAGAGAAAAUCCUUUAUUGUUUUCAUCUUGGCUUCAACAUAAUGUAUCAAUAUCCCUUUCUUCCUCUGAUUCUUGACCUGGUAUCCAACAUUGAUCUUUUAUACUCAAAAAAUGAGUAUUUCAAAACUUUGCAGUAUCCUUCCUUCAAACACCGCAGAGUGGAUUUUCCUUCCUGGACCAUACAGUUCGACUGCAACAGACACACACACAGGUCCUCCAGCUUGUCCUUGUAAUACUGGGGCAUGACGGUGCUUCCCAUCCACUGCGGACUCGACUUUCUUCCACUGCAACCGCUGCGACCAGGCCGGGAGCGAGUGAGGCCCCCGUCGCCGCUGGACUUUUAUGAGAGAGACGUAAGCCCCUGUUUAAGUCACUGUGGUCAGGUCUUCAUUAAUCACAACUAAAUGUAAUUCUUAGCUGAUCCACUGCCUGACACAGGGUGAUGUCCAGUAAAAGCUGGAACAUCUGGAAAGAGUUAGGGGUGAUGAGAAGAGUGGGCAAAAGGAUCUUGGCCUUGCUGCACUACAAGUUCUGAGUGACCAAGUUAUGUGCUCUUUCGGGGCCUCAGUUUAUUUUCUCUGAAGUGUGAGGGUCACACUAAAUAUUCUCUAAAAGAUUCUUUGGGCUCGUAUCCCUCUGAAUCUAUGGACUGGAGAGAUCUGGGUGCUCCUCUGGUUCCACCCUUAAUAGCUUUGUAACUGUAGGAGGGUUUCAUAGCCUCUUGGAGCUUUGGGUUUUCAUCUCAGUUGUCUAACAUGUCAGGUACACAGGAAAUGUUUGUUGAAUGCAGGAGGAAAGUGGGAAUCAUGCCACCUGUCUUGGCUGCUUCCCCAGAUGAUAGCAAGAAGAGGAUAAGAUGGUCCUGUACAGUGCCACCCAGAAGAGUGGGCUACUGUAAUUCUGAUGGCUGCAGGACUGACCUAGCCUCCCCCAGCCUCAUGCAGAGCUUGUGUUCUACGUAUCUGCCAGAACUGGCCUCUACUACAAAAAGACCCUGCCACCUUCCUCCCUGAGCAGC